UGUUUCGGCUAGGGGGCCAUCCCGGCUUACCAACCCGAUGCAAACUACGAAUACCGAAGAAUGUUAUCACGGGAGACACACGGCGGGUGCUAACGUCCGUCGUGAAGAGGGAAACAACCCAGACCGCCAGCUAAGGUCCCAAAGUCAUGGUUAAGUGGGAAACGAUGUGGGAAGGCACAGACAGCCAGGAUGUUGGCUUAGAAGCAGCCAUCAUUUAAAGAAAGCGUAAUAGCUCACUGGUCGAGUCGGCCUGCGCGGAAGAUGUAACGGGGCUAAACCAUGCACCGAAGCUGCGGCAGCGACACUAUGUGUUGUUGGGUAGGGGAGCGUUCUGUAAGCCGUUGAAGGUGUGCUGUGAGGCAUGCUGGAGGUAUCAGAAGUGCGAAUGCUGACAUAAGUAACGAUAAAGCGGGUGAAAAGCCCGCUCGCCGGAAGACCAAGGGUUCCUGUCCAACGUUAAUCGGGGCAGGGUGAGUCGACCCCUAAGGCGAGGCCGAAAGGCGUAGUCGAUGGGAAACAGGUUAAUAUUCCUGUACUUGGUGUUACUGCGAAGGGGGGACGGAGAAGGCUAUGUCAGCCGGGCGACGGUUGUCCCGGUUUAAGCAUGUAGGCGGAGGUUCCAGGUAAAUCCGGUACCUUUUAACGCUGAGGUGUGAUGACGAGGCACUACGGUGCUGAAGUGAUAAAUGCCCUGCUUCCAGGAAAAGCCUCUAAGCAUCAGGUAACACGAAAUCGUACCCCAAACCGACACAGGUGGUCAGGUAGAGAAUACCAAGGCGCUUGAGAGAACUCGGGUGAAGGAACUAGGCAAAAUGGUGCCGUAACUUCGGGAGAAGGCACGCUGAUGUGUAGGUGAAGCCCCUGCGGGCGGAGCUGAAAUCAGUCGAAGAUACCAGCUGGCUGCAACUGUUUAUUAAAAACACAGCACUGUGCAAACACGAAAGUGGACGUAUACGGUGUGACGCCUGCCCGGUGCCGGAAGGUUAAUUGAUGGGGUUAGCGGCAACGCGAAGCUCUUGAUCGAAGCCCCGGUAAACGGCGGCCGUAACUAUAACGGUCCUAAGGUAGCGAAAUUCCUUGUCGGGUAAGUUCCGACCUGCACGAAUGGCGUAAUGAUGGCCAGGCUGUCUCCACCCGAGACUCAGUGAAAUUGAACUCGCUGUGAAGAUGCAGUGUACCCGCGGCAAGACGGAAAGACCCCGUGAACCUUUACUAUAGCUUGACACUGAACACUGGUCCUUGAUGUGUAGGAUAGGUGGGAGGCUUUGAAGCGUGGACGCCAGUCUGCGUGGAGCCAACCUUGAAAUACCACCCUUUAAUGGCUGGUGUUCUAACGUAGACCCGUAAUCCGGGUUGCGGACAGUGUCUGGUGGGUAGUUUGACUGGGGCGGUCUCCUCCCAAAGAGUAACGGAGGAGCACGAAGGUUGGCUAAUCCUGGUCGGACAUCAGGAGGUUAGUGCAAUGGCAUAAGCCAGCUUGACUGCGAGCGUGACGGCGCGAGCAGGUGCGAAAGCAGGUCAUAGUGAUCCGGUGGUUCUGAAUGGAAGGGCCAUCGCUCAACGGAUAAAAGGUACUCCGGGGAUAACAGGCUGAUACCGCCCAAGAGUUCAUAUCGACGGCGGUGUUUGGCACCUCGAUGUCGGCUCAUCACAUCCUGGGGCUGAAGUAGGUCCCAAGGGUAUGGCUGUUCGCCAUUUAAAGUGGUACGCGAGCUGGGUUUAGAACGUCGUGAGACAGUUCGGUCCCUAUCUGCCGUGGGCGCUGGAGAAUUGAGGGGGGCUGCUCCUAGUACGAGAGGACCGGAGUGGACGCAUCACUGGUGUUCGGGUUGUCAUGCCAAUGGCACUGCCCGGUAGCUAAAUGCGGAAGAGAUAAGUGCUGAAAGCAUCUAAGCACGAAACUUGCCCC
This 1909-nucleotide ribosomal RNA is filed under the name Enterobacter hormaechei. RNAcentral describes it as "partial 23S ribosomal RNA". It matches the Rfam family "Bacterial large subunit ribosomal RNA", at positions 911 to 2800 of the family's 2925-position model. The record is from RNAcentral. Lineage: Bacteria; Pseudomonadati; Pseudomonadota; Gammaproteobacteria; Enterobacterales; Enterobacteriaceae.